UACGAAGGGGGCGAGCGUUGUUCGGAUUUACUGGGCGUAAAGGGCGCGCAGGCGGUUCUGUUUGUCGAGUGUGAAAGCCCCGGGCUCAACCUGGGAACUGCGCUCGAAACGGCGGAACUAGAGUUCGGGAGAGGAGAGUGGAAUUCCCAGUGUAGAGGUGAAAUUCGUAGAUAUUGGGAAGAACACCGGUGGCGAAGGCGGCUCUCUGGGCCGAUACUGACGCUGAGGAGCGAAAGCGUGGGGAGCGAACAGG
RNAcentral lists this ribosomal RNA (253 nucleotides) under uncultured bacterium. RNAcentral describes it as "partial 16S ribosomal RNA". It matches the Rfam family "Bacterial small subunit ribosomal RNA", at positions 524 to 776 of the family's 1533-position model. The record is from RNAcentral.